CCUACGGGAGGCUGCAGUGGGGAAUAUUGCACAAUGGGGGAAACCCUGAUGCAGCAACGCCGCGUGAGUGAGGAAGUAUUUCGGUAUGUAAAGCUCUAUCAGAAGGGAAUAGAAAAGAAGGUACCUGAAAAAGAAGCCCCGGCUAACUCCGUGCCAGCAGCCGCGGUAAUACGGAGGAUGCGAGCGUUAUCCGGAUUUAUUGGGUUUAAAGGGUGCGCAGGCGGGAGAGCAAGUCAGCGGUAAAAUGUCGGGGCUCAACCCCGGCCGGCCGGUGAAAAUGGUUUUCUAGAGUUGGUGAGAGGUAUGCGGAAUUCGUGGUGUAGCGGUGAAAUGCAUAGAUAUCACGAAGAACUCCGAUUGCGAAGGCAGCAUACCGGCUCCAUACUGACGCUGAGGCACGAAAGCGUGGGGAUCGAACAGGAUUAGAUACCCCGGUAGUC
This 440-nucleotide ribosomal RNA is filed under the name uncultured bacterium. RNAcentral's name for it is "partial 16S ribosomal RNA". It matches the Rfam family "Bacterial small subunit ribosomal RNA", at positions 338 to 795 of the family's 1533-position model. The record is from RNAcentral.